This 202-nucleotide long non-coding RNA is filed under the name Elaeis guineensis (African oil palm). Its description in RNAcentral is "long non-coding RNA (EGUI_LNC019009)". Lineage: Eukaryota; Viridiplantae; Streptophyta; Magnoliopsida; Arecales; Arecaceae. The record is from RNAcentral.
AGCCUAAAGAGGAGAGCCGAAGAGAGUAGAGCUAACAGAGUACAACCGAAAGAGCUGCCUCUUGAACUCCGACCUCCAAAAGAAGGACGCAUCCUCCUCUUGUAUAACUCUUAAAUUGCUAAACUAUAAUUGCUGCUUGCUAAAUAUUGAAUGAAAAAUAGCAGAAUUGCUAGAAGAGAGAAUAAAUAGAAGUAAAGAGAUA